GACGAACGCUGGCGGCGUGCUUAACACAUGCAAGUCGAACGGAAAGGCCCUGCUUUUGUGGGGUGCUCGAGUGGCGAACGGGUGAGUAACACGUGAGUAACCUGCCCUUGACUUUGGGAUAACUUCAGGAAACUGGGGCUAAUACCGGAUAGGAGCUCCUGCUGCAUGGUGGGGGUUGGAAAGUUUCGGCGGUUGGGGAUGGACUCGCGGCUUAUCAGCUUGUUGGUGGGGUAGUGGCUUACCAAGGCUUUGACGGGUAGCCGGCCUGAGAGGGUGACCGGCCACAUUGGGACUGAGAUACGGCCCAGACUCCUACGGGAGGUAGCAGUGGGGAAUAUUGCACAAUGGGCGGAAGCCUGAUGCAGCAACGCCGCGUGCGGGAUGGCGGCCUUCGGGUUGUAAACCGCUUUCGCCUGUGACGAAGCGUGAGUGACGGUAAUGGGUAAAGAAGCACCGGCUAACUACGUG
This 468-nucleotide ribosomal RNA is filed under the name uncultured bacterium. RNAcentral describes it as "partial 16S ribosomal RNA". It matches the Rfam family "Bacterial small subunit ribosomal RNA", at positions 28 to 507 of the family's 1533-position model. The record is from RNAcentral.